RNAcentral lists this ribosomal RNA (252 nucleotides) under uncultured bacterium. RNAcentral's name for it is "partial 16S ribosomal RNA". It matches the Rfam family "Bacterial small subunit ribosomal RNA", at positions 524 to 776 of the family's 1533-position model. The record is from RNAcentral.
UACGAAGGGGGCUAGCGUUGCUCGGAAUCACUGGGCGUAAAGCGCACGUAGGCGGCUUUUUAAGUCAGGGGUGAAAUCCUGGAGCUCAACUCCAGAACUGCCUUUGAUACUGAGAAGCUUGAGUCCGGGAGAGGUGAGUGGAACUGCGAGUGUAGAGGUGAAAUUCGUAGAUAUUCGCAGGAACACCAGUGGCGAAGGCGGCUUACUGGUCCUAACUGACGCUGAGGUGCGAAAGCGUGGGGAGCAAACAGG